RNAcentral lists this long non-coding RNA (3676 nucleotides) under Gallus gallus (chicken). Its description in RNAcentral is "lncRNA (ENSGALG00010000421.1)". The record is from RNAcentral. Lineage: Eukaryota; Metazoa; Chordata; Aves; Galliformes; Phasianidae.
UCUGUGGGGUCGUGAAGUCAGUGGGAAUGGGGGGUGGGUCUCUAUGGGGUCGUGAAGUCAGUGGGAUUGGAGAUGGGGCUCUAUGGGGUCGUGAAGUCAGUGGGAUUGGAGAUGGGGCUUCAUGGGGUCGUGAAGUCAGUGGGAAUGGGGAAUGGGGCUUUAUGGGGUCGUGAAGUCAUUGGGAUUGGAGAUGGGGCUUUAUGGGGUCGUGAAGUCAGUGGGAAUGGGGUGUGGGGCUCUAUGGGUCGUGAAGUCAGUGGGAAUGGGGAGGGGGGCUUUAUGGGGUCGUGAAGUCAGUGGGAAUGGGAAGGGAUAAUCAAUGGGGUCAUGAAGUCAGUGGGAAUGGGGAGUGGGGCUCUAUGGGGUCAUGAAGUAAUUGGGAUUGGAGAUGGGGCUCUAUGGGGUUUUUGAAGUCAUUGGGAUUGGGGAUGGGACUUUAUGGGGUCGUGAAGCCAUUGGGAUUGGAGAUGGGGCUUUAUGGGGUCAUGAAGUCAGUGGGAAUGGGGUGUGGGGCUCUAUGGGGUCGUGAAGUCAGUGGGUUGGAGAUGGGGCUUUAUGGGGUCGUGAAGUCAGUGGGAAUGGGGAGUGGGGCUCUAUGGGGUCGUGAAGUCAGUGGGAAUGGGGAGUGGGGCUCUAUGGGGUCGUGAAGUCAGUGGGAAUGGGGUAUGGGGCUCUAUGGGGUUUUGAAGUCAGUGGGAAUGGGGUGUGGGGCUCUAUGGGGUCGUGAGGUCAUAGGGAAUGUGGAGAGGGGUUUUAUGGGGUCAUGAAGCCAUUGGGAUUGGAGAUGGGGCUCUAUGGGGUCAUGAAGUCAGUGGGAAUGGGGAAUGGGGCUCUAUGGGGUUUUGAAGUCAGUGGGAAUGGGGUGUGGGGCUCUAUGGGGUCGUGAAGUCAUUGGGAAUGGGGAUUGGGGUUCUAUGGGGUCCUGAAGUCUUUGGGAUUGGAGCCCAUCCCCAUCCCAUCCCCACCCCAUAUCCCACCCCAUAUCCCACCCCAUCCCCGCUCCCACUCCACUGCUGGCCCCACUGCCCUCCCAUCGGCCCCAUUGCUCUCCUGCUGGCCCUAUUACUCUCCUGUUGGCCCCAUUACUUUUCUGUUGGCCCUAUUACUUUUCUAUUGACCCCAUUGCUUUUCUGCUGACCCCAUUGCUCUCCUGCUGGCCCUAUUACUCUCCUGCUGGCCCUAUUACUUUCCUAUUGGCCCCAUUGCUCUCCUAUCGGCCCCAUUACUUUCCUAUCGGCCCCACUGCUCUCCUGUCGGCCCCACUGCUCUCCUGUUGGCCCCACUGCCCUCCUGCUGGCCCCAUUACUCUCCUAUUAGCCCUAUUGCUCUCCUGUUGGCCCCAUUACUUUCCUAUUGGCCCUAUUACUCUCCUGCUGGCCCUAUUACUCUCCUAUCAGCCCCAUUGUUGUUCUCCUGGCCCCAUUGCUCCCCUAUCAGCCCCAUUGCUCUCCUGUUUGCCCCAUUACCCUCCUGCUGGCCCUAUUACUCUCCUACUGGCCCCAUUGCUCUCCUGUCGGCCCUAUUACUCUCGUGCUGGCCCCAUUACUUUCCUGUCAGCCCCACUGCCCUCCUGCUGGCCCUAUUACUCUCCUAUUGGCCCCAUUGUUCUUCUCCUGGCCCCACUGUUCUCCUGUCGGCCCCAUUGCUCUCCUGCUGGCCCUAUUACUCUCCUAUCGGCCCCAUUGCACUCCUGCUGGCCCCAUUGCUCUCCUCCUGGCCCCAUUACUUUUCUAUCGGCCCCAUUGCUCUCCUGUCGGCCCCAUUACUCUCCUAUCGGCCCCAUUGCUCUCCUAUCGGCCCCAUUGCUCUCCUGUCGGCCCCAUUACUCUCCUAUCGGCCCCAUUGCUCUCCUGUUGACCCCAUUGCUCUCCUGCUGACCCUAUUACUUUCCUGUUGGCCCCAUUUCUCUCUCAUUGGCCCCAUUGCUCCCCUCUGGGUCCCACUGCUCUCCUCCUGGCCCCAUUACUUUUCUCUCGGCCCCAUUGCUCUCCUAUCGGUCCUAUUACUCUCCUAUCAGCCCCAUUGCUCUCCUAUCGGCCCUAUUAUUCUCAUAUCAGCCCCAUUACUUUCCUAUCGGCCCCAUUGCUCUCCUGCUGGCCCCAUUACUUUUCUGUUGGCCCUAUUACUUUUCUAUUGACCCCAUUGCUUUUCUGCUGACCCCACUGCUCUCCUAUCGGCCCUAUAACUCUCCUGUCAGCCUCAUUGCUCUCCUGUUGGCCCCAUUACUUUCCUAUCGGCCCCAUUGUUCUCCUGUUGGCCCUAAUACUUUUCUAUUGACCCCAUUGCUUUUCUGCUGGCCCCAUUACUUUCCUAUUGGCCCCAUUGUUCUCCUGUUGGCCCCAUUACUUUUCUGUUGGCCCUAUUACUUUUCUAUUGACCCCAUUGCUUUUCUGCUGACCCCACUGCUCUCCUAUCGGCCCCACUGCUCUCCUGUCGGCCCCAUUGCUCUCCUGCUGGCCCCAUUACUUUCCUGCUGGCCCCAUUGCUCUCCUGCUGGCCCUAUUGCUCUCCUGCUGGCCCUGUUACUCUCCUAUUGGCCCCAUUGCACUCCUGUCAGCCCUAUUACUCUCAUGCUGGCCCCAUUACUUUCCUAUUGGCCCCACUGCUCUCCUGCUGGCCCUAUUACUCUCCUGCUGGCCCCAUUUCUCUCCUCCUGGCCCCAUUGUUCCCCUAUCAGCCCCAUUGCUCUCCUGUUGGCCCCACUGCCCUCCUGCUGGCCCUAUUACUCUCCUAUUGGCCCCAUUGUUCUUCUCCUGGCCCCACUGUUCUCCUGUCGGCCCCAUUGCUCUCCUGCUGGCCCCAUUGCUCUCCUCCUGGCCCCAUUACUUUUCUAUCGGCCCCAUUGCUCUCCUCCUGGCCCUAUUACUCUCCUGCUGGCCCCAUUGCUCUCCUAUUGGCCCUAUUAGUCUCCUAUCGGCCCCAUUGCUCUCCUCCUGGCCCCAUUACUUUCCUAUUGGCCCCAUUGCUCUCCUGUCGGCCCCAUUGCUCUCCUGCUGGCCCUAUUACUCUCCUAUUGGCCCCAUUGCUCUCCUGUCGGCCCCAUUACUUUCCUAUCGGCCCCAUUACUUUCCUAUCGGCCCUAUUACUCUCCUGCUGGCCCCAUUGCUCUCCUGCUGGCCCUAUUACUUUUCUGUUGGCCCUAUUACUUUUAUAUUGACCCCACUGCUUUUCUACUGACCCCAUUGCUCUCCUGCUGGCCCUAUUGCUCUCCUAUCGUCCCCAUUGCUCUCCUGCUGGCCCCAUUACUCUCCUGUCAGCCCCAUUGCUGUCCUGCUGGCCCCAUUACUCUCCUGUCAGCCCCACUGCUCUCCUGUUGGCCCCAUUGCCCCCAUAUCAGCCCCACUGCUCUCCUCCCGGCCCCAUUGCCUUCCUUUUGGCCCCACUCCUCUCCUCUGGGCCCCACUGCUCUCCUUUUGGCCCCAUUGCUCUCCUGCGGUUGUGGGGUGGAGGAUAUGGGGUGGGGGUUGUGGGGUGGAGGUUAUGGGGUUGGAGACACCGUGGGGUCUUUCCCAGGGAGGGGGCGAAGCGCUGCUGCACGGAAGGUCGGCUCAGGGAAGGUGGCACAGUGUGACUUCCGCCUCUCCUUCCUCCUCAUCUUCCUCCUCCUCUUCCUCCUCACCUCCCUCCUCUCCUCACCUUCCUCAUCUCCCUCCUCAUCUUCAUCCUCUCCUUCCUC